Molecule: ribosomal RNA, 450 nt
Filed under: uncultured bacterium
Lineage: Bacteria
Description: bacterial SSU rRNA
Rfam family: Bacterial small subunit ribosomal RNA
Source: RNAcentral
GUGGGGAAUAUUGGACAAUGGGCGGAAGCCUGAUCCAGCAAUGCCGCGUGUGUGAAGAAGGCCUGCGGGUUGUAAAGCACUUUAAGCAGGAAAGAAGGGCGGGGCGAUAAUACCGUUUCGCAUUGACGUUACCUGCAGAAUAAGCACCGGCUAACUCCGUGCCAGCAGCCGCGGUAAUACGGAGGGUGCGAGCGUUAAUCGGAAUUACUGGGCGUAAAGCGCGCGUAGGCGGUUCGAUCAGUCCGUCGUGAAAGCCCCGGGCUUAACCUGGGAAUGGCGGUGGAUACUGUCGAGCUAGAGUGUGGUAGAGGGGAGUGGAAUUUCCGGUGUAGCAGUGAAAUGCGUAGAGAUCGGAAGGAACACCAGUGGCGAAGGCGGCUCCCUGGACCAACACUGACGCUGAGGUGCGAAAGCGUGGGGAGCAAACAGGAUUAGAAACCCGAGUAGUCC